AAGUCGUAACAAGGUCUCCGUUGGUGAACCAGCGGAGGGAUCAUUACCGAGUUUACAACUCCCAAACCCCUGUGAACAUACCUAUUUGUUGCCUCGGCGGUGCCUGUUCCGACAGCCCGCCAGAGGACCCCAAACCCUGAUUACAUUUAAGAAGUCUUCUGAGUAAACCGAUUAAAUAAAUCAAAACUUUCAACAACGGAUCUCUUGGUUCUGGCAUCGAUGAARAACGCAGCGAAAUGCGAUAAGUAAUGUGAAUUGCAGAAUUCAGUGAAUCAUCGAAUCUUUGAACGCACAUUGCGCCCGCUAGUAUUCUGGCGGGCAUGCCUGUCCGAGCGUCAUUUCAACCCUCAAGCCCCCGGGCUUGGUGUUGGGGAUCGGCGAGCCUCCGCGCCCGCCGUCCCCUAAAUCUARUGGCGGUCUCGCUGUAKCUUCCUCUGCGUAGUAGCACACCUCGCACUGGGAAACAGCGCGGCCACGCCGUUAAACCCCCAACUUCUGAACGUUUGACCUCGGAUCAGGUAGGAAUACCCGCUGAACUUAA
Molecule: unclassified non-coding RNA, 541 nt
Filed under: Dactylonectria torresensis
Lineage: Eukaryota; Fungi; Ascomycota; Sordariomycetes; Hypocreales; Nectriaceae
Description: sequence contains ITS1, 5.8S rRNA gene and ITS2
Rfam family: 5.8S ribosomal RNA (bases 185-338)
Source: RNAcentral